RNAcentral lists this ribosomal RNA (163 nucleotides) under uncultured bacterium. Its description in RNAcentral is "partial 16S rRNA". It matches the Rfam family "Bacterial small subunit ribosomal RNA", at positions 355 to 511 of the family's 1533-position model. The record is from RNAcentral.
UAGGGAAUCUUCCACAAUGGACGCAAGCCUGAUGGAGCAACGCCGCGUGAGUGAAGAAGGUCUUCGGAUCGUAAACUCUGUUGUUAGAGAAGAACACGAGUGAGAGUAACUGUUCAUUCGAUGACGGUAUCUAACCAGCAAGUCACGGCUAACUACGUGCCAA